UAACACGUGGGUAACCUGCCCAUCAGAAGGGGAUAACACUUGGAAACAGGUGCUAAUACCGUAUAACAAUCGAAACCGCAUGGUUUCGGUUUGAAAGGCGCUUCUGCGUCACUGAUGGAUGGACCCGCGGUGCAUUAGCUAGUUGGUGAGGUAACGGCUCACCAAGGCAACGAUGCAUAGCCGACCUGAGAGGGUGAUCGGCCACAUUGGGACUGAGACACGGCCCAA
RNAcentral lists this ribosomal RNA (228 nucleotides) under uncultured bacterium. RNAcentral describes it as "partial 16S ribosomal RNA". It matches the Rfam family "Bacterial small subunit ribosomal RNA", at positions 111 to 334 of the family's 1533-position model. The record is from RNAcentral.